GUUUUACUUCUCCACAUAGUGCUUAAGCCACCUGAUUAUGAGAGAGCAAACCAGUCCAACAUUUAAAUCACAGUCAGGACUCUUACCAGGUAUGUUAAAGCGCACCAAAUACAGUCGUCUGCGUCAUGAUUCCCUGACAUCUUUGGAGGACUGUCCUGAUAGAACGCUGCCUCUGAAGAGGGACCUUUGUUUGGACUCUGACUUUGCUCAGCUGGAUCCUGGGACACCCUCUGACCCUGGACCGUCCACCCUGAGGGACUUCAUCCCCCGCGUGGCCAGCAUUCAACUGCAAAGUCCUCUAACCCUGAGAGGCCAAAGGGAACAGACAAGUACCAGUGCACCCAAAGACAAACCCCUGUCCAGCACAGAUUGGGGCUUAGAGCCGGGUGGCAAAUUUUGUAGGCACCCUUCCCUCAAUGAUCCCUUCCCCACGAGCCAAAACCUUAUCCACCCGACUCUGCUCUCUGCAAAACGACCCAUCAGACUGCACCGGAUGGCCAGCCUCCCCUGUCCCCCGUGCUCGCAGCACGGAGAUGGUCUGUGCUGUUUAAAGACUUUCUCUGCAGUAGAUGACUGUACAGUGGUGAGGACAGCAAAAGGAACGGCCCACCAUCACAUUAAGUACAUUGGUAGUGUGGAGGUCACCCAAUCCAUGAGGACUCUCAACUUUGACACAAGAAUGCAAGUCACAAGGUACGACAGCCCCCUCUCCACAUCACAUGAAACACAUUAAUACACUCGACCUACAUGGUAACUCUUUCUGGCCCGCUUUGCCCUGAAUCACACAUAUGUCGUACUUCCUUUUAAUGAAAAUUAAUUAUGUGUGUUUGGACUAUGUAUGUCAAGUAUUUAGAGAUUUAUUAGCUUCUGAAACAUCAUAAUUUAAAAUACUACACAUCAGAAGUCGCAUAUAUAACGCCACCACAGCAUAGCUGCUACUUACACACGGACACAGUUUUGACUUUAGAAGUGGGGGGACACAACCGGCAUGAGGACCAGGGGGGAUCUUGACAGUAAGUAUACAAAAAGAUGUAAUAUGUAAUGGGAAACAGGCUUCAACACAAGCGGUUGUUUUCCACUUGGUCCUAGUGCUCAACUAGUGUCUAUAUAAUAGAGCGUAAUGUUGUUUUUGGACGAUAAAUGAUGAAUGAUAAAUGACCCGCACUUGUAUAGCGCCUCUCAGAGUAAGGACUCCAAAAGCGCUUUACACUACAGUCUAUCAUUCAUCCAUUCACCCACACAUUCACACACUGAUGGUGAUGAGCUACAGUGUAGCCACAGCUGCCCUGGGGCGCACUGACAGAGGCGCCCAACCACAGAGGAAACAUAAAUUACUUUGGAAAAAAAUUUAUGGGGUGGGGGGGUGGGGGGUCAUGACCGCCCUGUCCCCCCAAAAAACUCUGUCUGUGUACUUACCACAUGGCCAGAUUUAUGGUUUUAUUCAUUUUUCAAGGUCAUCCUUUCAUCCUGGAGGAAAGAUGCAAAGCUUGCUAAACUCACAGCCAGUUUUUUUUCCUCGUGUCUGGUUUGAUGACAUAAAUUUGGUGAGUCAGUCACAUCAUGUUUUCACACAAACCUAAAGUACAUUUAGCCUUCUAUCAAAAAUAAGCAGUUUCUUGGCAUCAAACGGUGGACAUCAUAUGUUAAAUCCAAGGCACAUAUCAAACAGAUUCAAAAAAUAACGUUAAAUUGGCCCAUAGACUCCCAUUCAUUUUCUUUUUUUGGCAGUAGGGUACUUAUGGAAAGGAAUUAGAUGGGACUCUGUACUCUAUACUUUUGAAAAACAUUUUAUUGGACAAAUGUACAAUAUUACAAUCAGUAAAAUUUAACUGGCACUUAUGACCUACAGUACUUUUGUCUUUCAUAGGGGGACAGGAGACAUGUACAUAAUUCCAUGGUGCUGAAGUUUAAGGAAUGUACAAAUCCUGUUAAAGAGAUAGAGGUCUAAGAAACUUUUUAACAUUCAUGCAUUCAUUAUUAAACAUUUUAUUAUGUUCCAUACGAAUCAAGAUGAACAGACAAUCGGCUCAGUACACCAGAGGAGUCAAACUCCAGCUACUGGCUGAACCACCAUCCCAGAACUACAGUAAAUAAGAGCCUGUUCUCCAUCUGAAUUACCUACAAGAGAGCUCAUGACUUGAUGCCACUCACAUGGAGACUCCAUCAAGAGUGAUUAGGAAUUUACUAGAAAACUCAAAAGGACAAUUAAAAGCUUAUUUCUCAAGUUAGCAUCAUGUGUGGCAGAAACACUAAAUGUCCUGAACUUCUGGUGAAACCAUAACAAAAAGUGGCCAUGGGGAGGAGCACUGAAAGAAAGCAACGCCACUUAACCCUAUUCAUUCUAUAUAAGCCAAGCUGGCCAUGUGUAGCUUAUUAAAAACAAUGUUUCAAAGAAGGGAAAUCAGAUUAAAUGUAUAAUGUUUUAUACAACGGGGCUUUCUCAUCGUCAUCAACAUCCUAGAGCAGAAUGCCAACACACAACCUCUGUUCACAGGAACAGGGCUGUUGAAUGACGGAGCAGAAAAUCCAAUUAGGUGAAUUUCCUCCUAAUGAUCUCUCAUGGUCUCAUUAAAAAGAGAGCUGGAGAGCGAUCACAAUCCAUUAUGGAUAAUUUAUUUUCAAGGAAAAGAAAAGUUCUUCCAGGAAAAAGAGGCUUGCUACCUACAUGUACACUUUAGACUCUCUGACCUGAACAAGAAAGACUUGUUGUGUAGCCAUAUUGCCCUCAGUCUCUUAUGACUUUACGUUGUUUUCCAAAAUCCUAGACACUGUUUGGAUGUUGUUCUUCGAUAAACUUUCAUGUUAAAUGUGAGGAGUCUCCAUAGAACUUUCUGCUCCAGGCAUGGACCAAAUUUGUGUGUGUGUGUGUGUGUGUGUGUGUGUGUGGGGGGGGGGGGGCAUGUUCCCCCCACUUUUUCCAAAGUCAAGUUUUGACCCCUGCACUUUUUACCGUCCAUAGGCAAUAUUACGCUAUAUUAAAUAGACACUGGUUGAGCUUUUCAAUCUAGUGUAGGACCAAGUGGAACACAGCCAUUUGUGUAGAAGCCUGUUUCCCAUUAGAACAUACUGUAAAGAUCCCCCCCGGUCCUCAUGCCGGUUGUGUCUCCCCCAUUUCUAGUCAAAACUACGUCCAUGGCUCUAGGUAUGAUGGUCUUUUGAUUUUAGCGGUGUCCUGAUAACUUUUCUUGUUUUCCCUCUCCUCAUCAGCUAAGAAGAUGAAGAGAAAAUUACCUUCAAACUAAAUUCUAUAUUUUGAUUGAGAACACGGUUGUGCUUUACCUUAGUCCACUUUAAAGGGUCUGUGGAAGUUUGUGUUCAUGUUUUUCUGUACAAGGGUUCUAGCUACAUGAUUUAUGCUAUCUCUAGUGUAACAAGAUUUUUCCUGGAUUCCCAGAAUUCUUUUAUGCCAAUGUUCCUAACUGGUUAGUAAAUAAUUUAAUUAGUAAUAAAAUAUUUUGUUUUAUUUCUGUGUGUGUGUGUGUGUGUGUGUGUGUGUGUGUGUGUGUGUGUGUGUGUGUGUGUGUGUGUGUGUGUGUGUGUGUGUG
RNAcentral lists this long non-coding RNA (3545 nucleotides) under Nothobranchius furzeri (turquoise killifish). RNAcentral describes it as "lncRNA (ENSNFUG00015012011.1)". The record is from RNAcentral. Lineage: Eukaryota; Metazoa; Chordata; Actinopteri; Cyprinodontiformes; Nothobranchiidae.